This is a long non-coding RNA of Cucumis sativus (cucumber), 1562 nucleotides long. RefSeq lists it as uncharacterized. The transcript has 2 exons. NCBI's taxonomy places the organism in Eukaryota, Viridiplantae, Streptophyta, Magnoliopsida, Cucurbitales, Cucurbitaceae. The record is from RefSeq and is a predicted model, not a curated record.
AUCUUCUUUCCUGUGUAGUUUUCAUCUCUUGAUUUUGGAUUGCUUGUUCAAGAUUUAUUUUCGAAUUUUGGAUUGUUUGCUAUUCGGAUAGGCAGAAGGUUUGCACGAUGAUAGAUCUGGAGUACCUGAAUCGUUUAUUGAUUCUGUAGUUUAAUCUUAUGAUUUUGGUGAUUUCGAAGCGUACAAUAUAAUCGUACUGUGUUAUGAAGUAAAUAAGAUUUUGUAGGGUUUUUGAAAGUUAAUUUAGAUAUUUCCUGCAUUUUAGUCUUGAUAGAUCUGGGGUACCUGAACCGUUCAGGUUUGCAUGCUGUGAUUGUGUUGUUCUUUUUUGAUUUUGGAGAGAGUCCUUGGGUAAUUUUGAGGAUUGUUCUUUUUUUAGUUUUUUUUUGCAUGCAUUCAAACACACGCAUGGUUUUUAAACUGGGGUUCUUGAAUAUUUGUUGGUUUUCUCGAAUAUUUGCCGGUUUUUUUUUCUCAGAAGAAUUGAUCUUAUAUUUGUGUAUCUCUCUGUGCAACUUUAAUAUAAAGUUAUUAAGGAAGAAGAGAAAGGAGGAAGAAGGGAGAGAGAAAAGGUAGAAACGACCUAAUAGUAGGCAUGAGUAUUAAGAUGCAGCAGAGCCACCACUUAGUGGCGCUAAGGUUUAAUGAGCAAAUUGACAGUAGAAAAGGGUCCACAUCCAUACCUAAGUUACUAUUGCUCUGGGUUCUGUUGGUGGCAUUCAUUAGUAUGUUAAACUACAAAGAAAUGGAUGGGUGGGUGUUAACAAAGUUAGAAGAAAGUAAGUUCUGGGAAGUAUGUGUGACCAGACGACAAAGAUGUUUCUUAGUGUCAGUGUCAAACUAUGUCCAGGCUUUGGCCAUUCUCAUUUCCAUUUUCCAGUACUUCAAAAUCGUAUCAGCAAUUGAUCAGGAAAAUGUGUUUCGAUUUCUGUCUUUUAUUAGUCUCGGUUAGUUAGGCUUAAGAGUAAGGGAUAUAAUUCAUUUUUCUUGUUUCAGCUAGAAAUUACGUCGAUGUCUUGAUUUUUAGUUUUUUUAGGGCUGUUUGGUUGUUUUUUUAGGGGUGUUUGGUUAGUUAGGCCUAAGAAGUAAGGGCUAGUGAAAGAGAAGCAUUUGAUUGUCCUACAAGUAUCUGAAUCGCCAAUGAAAGCAGAGGUUAUUUCCUCUGAAUUUCCACGAAUUGUUCAGGCUUCAGAGAAUGAAUCUCCUUUUUAAGGGUUCGUUGGGGAGCGAAGUGACCAUAUGGCAUCCCUUUCUGCACCUGCUCAGUCUCUCUCUUGCCUUUUUCAUACUACAUAUUUUUGUUUCUCAAUUUAGUGUCAGUGUCAACCAUGUCUAUGCUUUGGCCAUUCUCAUUUCCACUUUCCACUACUCUAAAAAUGUAUCUGCAAUUGAUCAGGUAAAAGUGUUUCAAUUUUCUGUCUUUGGUUCAUCUCCGUUAGUUAGUCUUAAGAGUAAGGGAGAUAAUUCGUUUUUCUUGUUUCCCUCCAUGUAUUGAUUUUUAGUUUUUUAGGGAUGCUUGGUUGGUUUGAAUGCACGAAACAUUUGCUGGUACACGAUUCAAA